GGUAACAGGCGAGACCCGUAUGUAUAUUUACUACGUGUACAAUAUACAGACUGCCUUGGUAACAAGGAGGAAGGUGCGGGCUACGUUAGGUGAGUACGUCCCGAAUGUCCUGGGCUACACGCGCGCGGCAAUGCUGCAUUCAGAGGGUUGCGACACCGAAAGGUGAAGCUAAUCUCAUAAACUGCAGCCUAGUUCAGAUCGAGGGUUGCAACUCACCCUCGUGACGCUGGAAUUCGUAGUAAUCGUGUGUUAUCAGCAGACGGUGAAUAUGUCAAUGCUCCUUGCACUCACCGCCCGUCAAACCAACCGAGUUUAGCUUUGGUGAGACCCGUCAGGGACGAGCCUUGGUUAGACAAGGUAGGUUAAGUCGUCACAAGGUAUCCGUAGGGGAACCUGCGGAUGGAUCACCUCCU
Molecule: ribosomal RNA, 413 nt
Filed under: Candidatus Poseidoniia archaeon
Lineage: Archaea; Methanobacteriati; Thermoplasmatota; Candidatus Poseidoniia
Description: bacterial SSU rRNA
Rfam family: Archaeal small subunit ribosomal RNA
Source: RNAcentral